GUCUCAUUUUCCCCUGAGCUCCAUCAGCAAGAGUAGCAAUAGCAGCUGGAGAAGCGGCAGCCAGAGAUAGGCAGGGCUGGUGCUUGCAGCCGCGCAAAUCGCCUCCUCCUCAACACACACACAACACACACACUGCACAGACUUCCAAUAUCAACGCGUCUUGACAUAAAUCGAGGACUAAGAGAGACUAAAGAAGAGCGUUAGUCAUGGACAACAGUUCUUUAACACAUUAUUGAAAUUACAAGCAUCCAAAGCAGUUUCAUGUGGACAGAUUGCAUAUUUUGAAAGCCUGAGGUAUUUUAUCAUGAAACAUGCCAUGUGGAAUCUUUGAAGCAUAGACCUCUGCGCAACACCUGAAUAAAGAAUCUUUUACCUGGUAUGUGACAGAGCUUCUCACCACCACCAUGACAAACCAGGAAAAAUGGGCCCACCUCAGCCCUUCGGAAUUCUCCCAACUUCAGAAAUAUGCUGAGUAUUCUACAAAGAAAUUAAAGGAUGUUCUUGAAGAAUUCCAUGACAAUAGAUUUUGAAGGUUUC
RNAcentral lists this small RNA (537 nucleotides) under Pan troglodytes (chimpanzee). RNAcentral describes it as "processed transcript". Lineage: Eukaryota; Metazoa; Chordata; Mammalia; Primates; Hominidae. The record is from RNAcentral.